GGGCAGAAACGAGGUGAUUUCGUCAGCCUUCCAAGUUACAUGUCGAGGGUUCGAGUCCCUUCGCCCG
This 67-nucleotide transfer RNA is filed under the name Phycisphaerales bacterium. RNAcentral's name for it is "tRNA-Gly". The record is from RNAcentral. Lineage: Bacteria; Pseudomonadati; Planctomycetota; Phycisphaerae; Phycisphaerales.